GAUGAACGCUGGCGGCGUGCCUAAUACAUGCAAGUCGAGCGAACAGACGAGGAGCUUGCUCCUCUGACGUUAGCGGCGGACGGGUGAGUAACACGUGGAUAACCUACCUAUAAGACUGGGAUAACUUCGGGAAACCGGAGCUAAUACCGGAUAAUAUAUUGAACCGCAUGGUUCAAUAGUGAAAGACGGUUUUGCUGUCACUUAUAGAUGGAUCCGCGCCGCAUUAGCUAGUUGGUAAGGUAACGGCUUACCAAGGCAACGAUGCGUAGCCGACCUGAGAGGGUGAUCGGCCACACUGGAACUGAGACACGGUCCAGACUCCUACGGGAGGCAGCAGUAGGGAAUCUUCCGCAAUGGGCGAAAGCCUGACGGAGCAACGCCGCGUGAGUGAUGAAGGUCUUCGGAUCGUAAAACUCUGUUAUUAGGGAAGAACAAAUGUGUAAGUAACUAUGCACGUCUUGACGGUACCUAAGCAGAAAGCCACGGCUACUACGUG
This 496-nucleotide ribosomal RNA is filed under the name uncultured bacterium. RNAcentral's name for it is "partial 16S ribosomal RNA". It matches the Rfam family "Bacterial small subunit ribosomal RNA", at positions 28 to 507 of the family's 1533-position model. The record is from RNAcentral.